CAGCAGACAGCAGCCGAGGAGGGUGGGUCCCCUGGGGCCCCUGGGUGGCGCAUGGCCCUGCCCACAUCCUGGCCGUGGGCUCUGGAGCCCAGGCCUGUGUGAAGCACAUCUCCAUUGUUUGAAGUCCCGUGGCCUGUAGCACUCUGGUCUGAUGGCCACUGGAAGCUCACACCUGGGUUUCAGUUAUUCGGGCUGUGAACUCUAAGAUUAGUGUCUGGUGGACACGCAGACACAGGAGACACAAGCCAGAGAAAGGCACCGUGCACUCUGAGGGGUGAGCCACAGUCCACAGAAAUCUCAAGGUAAGAGCCAGAGCCCAAAGCGGCCUUCUCCGUGGAUCUCAGGUGUGGAACAUCAUGUGGCUGGAGAAUCCUGGGCCACGGGCCACGUCUGGGCCUGACCGUCUGGGCCGGCGCCCAAACUCACAGAGGGACGUCGGGAUCCGAGGAGCUGGAAGGAACGAGUCCCAGACAUGAUGGAAAGACAGUCUCUGCCGUGCCAGCUGCCCUGGGGCCCCGAGAGGCCCUUCCUGACACCUGCCCCACCCCGGCUUCCCAGAGCAUCUGGACCUUCCUUCAGCAUCACAAGGGUCCAUGGAAGCAAUCACAAAAGAUGUCACCUUCUUCUGGGAAGCGUUCACUGCACACUACCAGACACCGACAUGGAGCUGUGCUUGCAGGGUUCUAUGUGCAGAGGUGCAUAAUUUUGAUGUAUGCUGUAUUUUUGCAACACAUAGACAUUAGCAUGCAGACACGGCACCUGAGAUCGUGUGUCAGCGCGGGGAAACGCUCCGACUUCCUGUAACACUAGGAGACGAGCAGCCUGAGGGCAGAUGUGACCACUCUUCCAGGGCGAGAUUGUGUGAGAACUGCUUCCACAGUGUCCCAGGUUCAGUUUUCAGUGUCUAAGAGUCUGUUGGCCAGCAAGAACUUUCCAAGACUGAAGAGCAAACAGCUCGCCCCAGCCUUCCAUGGCGACCACAGUGCCCUUGCCUGCAAGGCCUCCCGUGUCUACACAUUCGCUGCUGAGAACACCCAAGCCACUCCUACACAUCUGACCCACUCCUACG
Molecule: long non-coding RNA, 1069 nt
Organism: Heterocephalus glaber (naked mole-rat)
Lineage: Eukaryota; Metazoa; Chordata; Mammalia; Rodentia; Bathyergidae
Source: Ensembl